CCUACGGGUGGCAGCAGUGGGGAAUAUUGCACAAUGGGGGAAACCCUGAUGCAGCAACGCCGCGUGAAGGAAGACGGUUUUCGGAUUGUAAACUUCUAUCAAUAGGGAAGAAAGAAAUGACGGUACCUAAAUAAGAAGCCCCGGCUAACUACGUGCCAGCAGCCGCGGUAAUACGUAGGGGGCAAGCGUUAUCCGGAAUUACUGGGUGUAAAGGGAGAGUAGGCGGCAAGGUAAGCGAUAUGUGAAAGCCUUAAGCUUAACUUAAGGAUGGCAUAACGAACUAUCUAGCUAGAGUACAGGAGAGGAAAGCGGAAUUCCUAGUGUAGCGGUGAAAUGCGUAGAUAUUAGGAAGAACAUCAGUGGCGAAGGCGACUAUCUGGCACAUAACUGACGCUGAGGAGCGAAAGCGUGGGUAGCAAACAGGAUUAGAUACCCGGGUAGUC
Molecule: ribosomal RNA, 443 nt
Filed under: uncultured bacterium
Lineage: Bacteria
Description: partial 16S ribosomal RNA
Rfam family: Bacterial small subunit ribosomal RNA
Source: RNAcentral